ACGUACUGACUUAAUUAUAAACGUAUAGACACAGGGCUAGAACCAUCCGACAAAACCAAAUGUCUAAUUUAGAUUUCAUUAUAAGGGCUCUAACAAGAACAUCCAUCAUAACAACUAUUUUUAUUAAUCCCCUAGCUAGUGGAUUAUUAUUUUUUGACCUGCUUAAUCUAAUAGUUAAAUGACUGAUAAAAUUUGUUUUUGUUACAAUAUAUAACAUUGAGACUGUUAUAUAGCUACAAAAAUCUUGAUCAAAAAGAGAAUUUUUACCAUGUUUUCUUGCUUAAUUUUUUUUUUGGGGUCAAAUCUUGCUUAAUCUUUCAUAUUUCAAAAAACGAAAAGCAUUAGGGCAAACAUGUGUAACUCUUCUUGAUACUUAGGUGGGGGUAGUGAAUAUAAAUGCUACAUGCGUCCGAAUCUAACCAUGUCCAUAAUGUGUUUAUUUCUAUAUUAUAUUAAAGUCCAUCAUCGAAUACUCUAUCAAAUCCAAAAUAAUGGGUGUAAUUUACUUUUUACAAAAGUGAAGAGAGAGAGAGUGGGGGAGAUGAUUCUGAAUGCAGUUGUGUGGUCGAUUAAUCAUUUGCAAAUGACUACACAUGUAGAAAAGCAUCUUUAAUGCUCCAAAAUGCAUCUAUUGAUUUUAAUCUUGAUCAAACCAUCAUACUCUCCACCUCGCUACGUAUCAUUUUUAAUGCAAAUACUAAAUAUAAUUAAAAACGCAAGCUGUGGAACAAUACUUCUUGCAAUCGUGCGACGCACCUGACACUUGCAAGCUCCGUUACUAAGCUGGCUAAGUAUGGCUACAUUCUGACCAUUCUAACUUCCGUUUAUGGUGACAGAAGUUAUGUAGGAUGUGGCUAGCUAAAAUCAGUCUGAUGACUCUGAUUUAAUUGCUAGUUAAAAAUUUUUUUUUUUAUGUUGUAACACACGUUGUCUUUUUAAUUAACUGAUUUUAAUUUCCCUUAAUAUAUAAAAGUACUGAAUCAUAUCUUAUCAUUAAGAACCAAAAGAAUUCACACCUUAACUAUAAUAUUCUUUUAACACUAAUCUUUUGCUCGAAAUACAGGCUUAUAUAGCGUUAUGCACAUUUACCCAAAAUAACUGUUUUAUAGUUGUCUACAUGUUAAUCAAGUUCUUAGACAGCAGAGUUACAAUCUCAAACCAUCUACAUUGUUUAAACCAUGUAUCUAUUUGUGUUCCUAUUGAUUUUUUUUUUAUAUUUUGUUCACGAAUCUAUCCUAUACUAAAAGGAAGAUAUAAUCAAAGGAGAGUGUGUCCACGUAGGCAUUUUAAUUCCAUCCAAUUAGAAACUUCCGUUUCUCCACGUCACUUCAGCUCUCCGUAAUACCUUUGCGUAGAAGAAGCCCAUUUAAUUUUCCACAUAGGCCCAGUUUUUGGUUUGCACGCCUCCAACCCUGAUACGGCAUAAUCGAUGAACUGAAAUUCUUCUCUCCUCUGCGUGUGAUGGAGUUUUGGUGACCUUUGCGCUUCGUCUCACUAUCUGAAACGGUCUGAGUUAUGGCUUCGUGUUUAAUCCCCUUGAUUCUCGCCCAUGGUGAGGCUUUGAAUGUGCUGUCUAGAUCUAAAAGCCUGUGUGUGUUGGGUAUAAAUAUAGGGUGUUCUUCUCCAAUCUGAAGUUCGGCAAGUGUUCCUCCGCUAGGCUGUUGUGGAUCUGGGAAUUUGAUGGCCUAAACCAGCAUGAUUACAGAUGCAUUUAAUACCCCCUUUCGAUUGAGCUCAUCACUACGAUAAGAAAGUGUUUGGUUUCAUCCAAGGAUAUGAGCGUGUCUUGGAUACUGCUUGCUUUGAUCACAGAGGUAAACCAGAACAUCCGGACUUUACACUCGAGAAAGAUGGAGCCAUAUGCGUAAGUAGACAUUCUAAAGUAUCUGUAUGAUGCAAGGAUCUCAGAGUCUGUUUGUGAGGCCUGCUGCAUUUUGUUUCUGUCGCAGACCAGAAGAAGAACGUUUGGCAAUGGAGGUGUGUUUAUGCAUCAAAUAACUAAAGUAUCUCUCUUUCACGGCUCUCUGACUCCGUAAGCUCCUAAUCUGACCCUUGGGUUAUCAUGAUAUGAGAUUCUCAAUUACUGUUUGGAGUCUUUAUCUUUUUCAAAGUUGUGCGUAGUCUUGAGGUGUUAAAGGUAUGAUUGUAUUUACUUUUUCCUCCUGCUAUUGAGUAGUACUAAAUAAUAAGAUUUUAUUUUGUUGUUUUAGUUUCUCUGUGAAUAUAACAUUGUAAAUGUCUUCACUUGGUAUCAAGGUCAUCGAGAAAGAGAGAGUGUACCAAUUGUAAAUUUAUUGUGCAAAAACAUUUAUUUAUUUAUUUUUAUACAAUUUUUUAGUAA
Molecule: long non-coding RNA, 2341 nt
Organism: Brassica rapa (field mustard)
Lineage: Eukaryota; Viridiplantae; Streptophyta; Magnoliopsida; Brassicales; Brassicaceae
Source: RefSeq, a predicted model, not a curated record